UACAGAGGUCUCAACCGUUGUUCGGAUUCAUUGGGCGUAAAGGGUGCGUAGGCGGUCGUGCAAGUCGGAUGUGAAAUCUCAGGGCUCAACCCUGAAACUGCCAUUGAUACUAUUUGUCUUGAAUACUGUGGAGGUCAGCGGAAUAUGUCAUGUAGCGGUGAAAUGCUUAGAUAUGACAUAGAACACCAAUUGCGAAGGCAGCUGGCUACACAAAUAUUGACACUGAGGCACGAAAGCGUGGGGAUCAAACAGG
This 253-nucleotide ribosomal RNA is filed under the name uncultured bacterium. RNAcentral describes it as "partial 16S ribosomal RNA". It matches the Rfam family "Bacterial small subunit ribosomal RNA", at positions 524 to 776 of the family's 1533-position model. The record is from RNAcentral.